Molecule: ribosomal RNA, 429 nt
Filed under: bacterium
Lineage: Bacteria
Description: partial 16S ribosomal RNA
Rfam family: Bacterial small subunit ribosomal RNA
Source: RNAcentral
UGGGGAAUCUUCCGCAAUGGACGAAAGUCUGACGGAGCAACGCCGCGUGAGUGAUGACGGCCUUCGGGUUGUAAAGCUCUGUUAAUCGGGACGAAUGGUUCUUGUGCGAAUAGUGCGAGGAUUUGACGGUACCGGAAUAGAAAGCCACGGCUAACUACGUGCCAGCAGCCGCGGUAAUACGUAGGUGGCAAGCGUUGUCCGGAAUUAUUGGGCGUAAAGCGCGCGCAGGCGGAUUGGUCAGUCUGUCUUAAAAGUUCGGGGCUUAACCCCGUGCUGGGAUGGAAACUGCCAAUCUAGAGUAUCGGAGAGGAAAGUGGAAUUCCUAGUGUAGCGGUGAAAUGCGUAGAUAUUAGGAAGAACACCAGUGGCGAAGGCGACUUUCUGGACGAAAACUGACGCUGAGGCGCGAAAGCCAGGGGAGCGAACGGG